This 1293-nucleotide ribosomal RNA is filed under the name human gut metagenome. Its description in RNAcentral is "eukaryotic LSU rRNA". It matches the Rfam family "Eukaryotic large subunit ribosomal RNA", at positions 1729 to 3401 of the family's 3401-position model. The record is from RNAcentral.
GGUUAACUGGAGAAUAAAGUUUUAUUUUAGUAAAAUUAUAAUUUCGAUUAUAAUAACGGCUAUUUAAAUGAUCCAUGAAACGAUAAGUUUAUUUUUUCAAAAAUUAAUUUAAUCGUACCGAUAACCGCAUCAGGUCUCCAAGGUGAGUAGCUUCUGGCCAUUGAGUAAUGGUAAUUUAGGGAAUUCGGCCAAUUAGAGCUGUAACUUCGGGAUAAAGCUUGGCUCUGAUGGAAAUCAGAACCGAUAGUUACAAGGAGAGCCCAACUGUUUAAUAAAAACUUAGUGUCGCGUCAUACCUUUAUAAGUAAUAAACGUGACAUGAAUCCUGCUCAGUGCUGUGUUUGUUAAACUGGAUUAAUCCAUUUAAGCGCCGGUAAAUAGCUGGGGUAACUAUGACUCUUAUCAAAGUAGCGAAAUACCUCGUCACUUAAUUAGUGACCUGCAUGAACGGAGCUAUGAGGUUCUCACUGUCCCAAAUUAUCACUCAGCGAACCAACAGUUGUGGGAACGGGCACAAAUUAUCCAGCGGGGAAAGAAGACCCUGUAGAGCUUCACUUUGGUCUAAUCUUGUAUAGUUUCGUUAGGGGUGCAGUCUAGGUGGGAGAUUUUUAAUCAAAUAUGAGAAACCACUACCCUUUCUGGAAUUAUACUUACUAAAAUUCUUUUCUAAAUUUUAGGAUCGGAUUAGAUAGAAAGUUUGGCUGGGGCGGCACACCUUCGAAAAAGCAGCGAAGGUGUCCUAAGUUAAGCUCAGUAAGGACAGAAAUCUUACGUUGAGGAUAAGGCCAAAAGCUUAAUUUACUGUGCCUUUUUGUACUAGGAUCAGUUUGGAAACAAAGGCCUAACGAUCCCUAAUUAGUCUUAGGUGUGUAAGACUUGGGGUGACAGACAAGUUACCUCCGGGACAACUGGCUUGUGGCUGCUAAGAGAUCAAAUCAACGCAGCUUUUUGAUUCUUCGAUGUCGGCUCUUCCUAUCCUAGUGAUGUACAAGUCACUAAGGGUUGGAUUGUUCACCCGUAUUAGGGAUCGUGAGCUGGGUUUAGACCGUCGUGAGCCAGGUUUGUUUUAUCCUACUGGAUAUAAUUUAGCAUCUUGAUAGUAGUUUGAUUUAGUACGAGAGGAACUGUUGAAUAUGGUCUCUGGUUUGGGAAUUUUAUGAAAAUAAAAGUUCCAAAGCUACGCCGUCUGAGAUAAUGGCUGAAGGCCUCUUAAGCCAGAAACUCAUCUAAAAAUAGAUGCUUUAAACUAUUUAAAAGAAUUAAAUUUAAAAUAUUUUUUUUAUUAAAAUUUGU